GGAAUAUUGGACAAUGGGCGCAAGCCUGAUCCAGCCAUGCCGCGUGAGUGAUGAAGGCCUUAGGGUUGUAAAGCUCUUUUAGCGGGGACGAUAAUGACGGUACCCGCAGAAAAAGCCCCGGCCAACUUCGUGCCAGCAGCCGCGGUAAUACGAAGGGGGCUAGCGUUGCUCGGAAUCACUGGGCGUAAAGCGCACGUAGGUGGGUCGCUGAGUCGGUGGGUAAAUCCUGGAGCUCAACGCCAGAACUGCCUUCGAUACUGGCGAUCUUCGAGUCCGGGAGAGGUGGGUGGAACUGCGAGUGUAGAGGUGAAAUUCGUAGAUAUUCGCAAGAACACUAGUGGCGAAGGCGGCUCACUGGCCCGGUACUGACACUGAGGUGCGAAAGCGUGGGGAGCAAACA
Molecule: ribosomal RNA, 400 nt
Filed under: uncultured bacterium
Lineage: Bacteria
Description: bacterial SSU rRNA
Rfam family: Bacterial small subunit ribosomal RNA
Source: RNAcentral